UCCUUUCAGAUAGAGGGAAAGUUAAAAGGGGAAUAUCCACUCUCUCCACCCACUCUCUUCUACCACAGUUAUAACUAGGGACAAUUCACAAUCGGGAUUUAUUGGAUUACGGAACCUCCAGAGGCUGUGAGCUUGACAGAUACACUCACUGGCAACAUGCUUCUGCUGUUUCUGUGUCUGGAUUUGGGAACUCCUAGUGUCCAUUCACAAGGACAAGGGGUUAAAGUAACAUGUGACAGUCCAUCGGUUUCAGAGGACCAGCAACUGGUACUGAGAUGUACAGUGGAUUACACUGCCAUACAAACUCCCAACCAAGGGACGGAGGGGACCGCAAAUGACCCAACAUGUGUUACUGAACGGUUUACAUGGAAGAAUUCAAAUAUUGUACUACGGAGUUGUGAACAAGACAACUGUAACAAGAAAACAUGUGAAGCAUCUCCACACACUAGGGAAGACACUGACAGCAACACCAUCCAACACUACUGUUAUGAGAAAAAAAGUGCUACCAAAGCUGAUGAGGGUAUUUACACUUUUUCCAUUGGCACAAACUGUGGGGAUAAUUCAGGGACAACAAGCUGGUUCAGUGAUGCAGUUACUGCGAGAAAAGAGGGAAACCAACCCACCCAACAAGCUCCCGUAUGGUUAGCCCUGGUUGUUAUCAUCAGCAUCAUCACUGUUCUGGCCGUUCUAUUGUUUCUCAUCACUUCUCAUUCUGGCAGAAGAUUGAUGGAUCGACUCAAGAGUUAUAUGACCCAGAGCAACAGGAACAACACUGAUGAGAGCCCUGAAGGUACAAGAGAGGCCCUUACCCUGGUGUCUGCAUAACAUUCAGCGUGAGCCAGUUGGCUUGUUGGUUCUUUCGAAAUUAACUCAACGUUGCCCCUGCUAUGUUGCUGUAUGUCAGAUGUAUUCUAUACCAAUAAAACACUACUCACUUUUGCACCUAAAUUAGUUUUGCACAAACAUUUAUGGAAUCAGUUUGUGAAAUCACUAAUAAUCGUCUUUCACAGAAAAAAUGGUGCUAUCUGGAACCUAACAGGGUUAUUUGGCAUCCCCAUAGGAGAACCCUUUGAAUAACUCUGGUUCCAGGUAGAACCCUUUUCAUAACCCUUCCUAAGCUUGUUUAUAAAGGGAGUUGGUUUUGGUCUAUCUAUACAUUGAUGUGUGUAAUAUUCUGUAAUAUUCUGCUCAACUCACAAGCAUUGUUUUCAUAACCACUAAGAUAAGCUUGUUUUUGGUUUUAGCCUAAACUCUGAUGUAAUAUUCUGGGAUUCAUGGAUUUUUUUAUGAAUAUAAAAUGUUAUUGAUUUGUGUACAAAUAAACUUUUGGAAAUAACCAGUCUUUAUAAUGUUAUUUCUCUCAUAUAGA
Long non-coding RNA from Coregonus clupeaformis (lake whitefish), 1369 nucleotides. RefSeq lists it as uncharacterized. The record is from RefSeq and is a predicted model, not a curated record. The transcript has 4 exons. NCBI's taxonomy places the organism in Eukaryota, Metazoa, Chordata, Actinopteri, Salmoniformes, Salmonidae.